AGAGUUUGAUCCUGGCUCAGGAUGAACGCUGGCGGUGUGCUUAACACAUGCAAGUCGUACGAGGUACAUUCAUGUAGACUCUCGGGUCUACCGAAUGGACUGCAGUGGCGGACGGGUGCGUAACGCGUAAGAACUUACCUUUCGGAGGGGGAUAACAUUGGGAAACCGCUGCUAAUACCCCAUAAUGCUGAGGAGCUAAACGGUGAACAACCGCCGAGAGAGAGGCUUGCGUCUGAUUAGCUAGUUGGCGGGGGUAAUGGCCCCCCAAGGCGACGAUCAGUAGCUGGUCUGAGAGGAUGAUCAGCCACACUGGGACUGAGACACGGCCCAGACUCCUACGGGAGGCAGCAGUGAGGAAUUUUCCGCAAUGGGCGAAAGCCUGACGGAGCAAUACCGCGUGGAGGAAGAAGGCCCGUGGGUCGUAAACUCCUUUUCUCAGAGAAGAAGAUCUGACGGUAUCUGAGGAAUAAGCGCCGGCUAAGUCUGUGCCAGCAGCCGCGGUAAUUC
This 507-nucleotide ribosomal RNA is filed under the name uncultured bacterium. RNAcentral describes it as "bacterial SSU rRNA". It matches the Rfam family "Bacterial small subunit ribosomal RNA", at positions 8 to 526 of the family's 1533-position model. The record is from RNAcentral.